This 560-nucleotide ribosomal RNA is filed under the name uncultured eukaryote. RNAcentral describes it as "bacterial SSU rRNA". It matches the Rfam family "Eukaryotic small subunit ribosomal RNA", at positions 4 to 565 of the family's 1831-position model. The record is from RNAcentral.
CUGGUUGAUCCUGCCAGCGGUCAUAUGCUCAUCUGAAAGAUUAAGCCAUGCAUGUUAAAAAACUUGCCCUAGAAUGGCGAAUUCGCGGACGGCUCAUUACAACAGAGAUAAUUUGCUUGAUUUAGAAUCCCAAGUGGAUAACUUUGGUAAUUCUGGAGCUAAUACAUGCCUCGAUGCCCCGACCUGUACGGAAAGGGUGCAGUUAUUAGAUCAAAACCAAACGGGCUUGCCCGUGUUUUGUUGACUCUGAAUAACCGUUCCGAUCGCAUGGUCUCGUACCGGCGACGUAUCAUUUCAAGACUCUGCCCUAUCAACUUCCGAUGGGAGGUCAUGUGCCUCCCAUGGUUGUGACGGGUAACGGAGAAUAAGGGUUCGACUCCGGAGAGGGAGCCUGAGAAACGGCUACCACAUCCAAGGAAGGCAGCAGGCGCGCAAAUUACCCACUCUCAGAACGAGGAGGUAGUGAAUAGAAAUAACAAAGCAGAUGUCUUUGAUGUCUGCUAUUGGAAUGGGUACAAUUUAAAACCCAUAACGAGGACCUAUGAGAGGGCAAGUCUGGU